RNAcentral lists this ribosomal RNA (653 nucleotides) under uncultured organism. RNAcentral's name for it is "bacterial SSU rRNA". It matches the Rfam family "Bacterial small subunit ribosomal RNA", at positions 1 to 663 of the family's 1533-position model. The record is from RNAcentral.
GGCUUAGAGUUUGAUCAUGGCUCAGGAUUAACGCUGGCGGCGCACAUAAGACAUGCAAGUCGAACGGACUUAAUCGAUUCUUUUAGAUUCGAAGCGGUUAGUGGCGGACUGGUGAGUAACACGUAAGCAACCUGCCUAUUAGAGGGGAAUAACAGUGAGAAAUCAUUGCUAAUACCGCAUAAGCUAGAGAUGUCGCAUGACAAAGCUAGAAAAGGAGUAAUCCGCUAAUAGAUGGGCUUGCGUCCGAUUAGCCAGUUGGUGGGGUAACGGCCUACCAAAGCAACGAUCGGUAGCCGAGCUGAGAGGCUCAACGGCCACAUUGGGACUGAGAUACGGCCCAGACUCCUACGGGAGGCAGCAGUCGGGAAUAUUGCGCAAUGGAGGGAACUCUGACGCAGUGACGCCGCGUAUGGGAAGAAGGUUUUCGGAUUGUAAACUAUUUUAGACAGGGAAGAAUAAAGACAGUACCUGUAGAAUAAGCUCCGGCUAACUACGUGCCAGCAGCCGCGGUAAUACGUAGGGAGCAAGCGUUAUCCGGAUUUAUUGGGUGUAAAGGGUGCGUAGACGGGAAAGCAAGUUAGUUGUGAAAGCCCUCGGCUUAACUGAGGAACUGCAACUAAAACUAUUUUUCUUGAGUGCAGGAGAGGGAAGCG